Molecule: ribosomal RNA, 497 nt
Filed under: uncultured bacterium
Lineage: Bacteria
Description: partial 16S ribosomal RNA
Rfam family: Bacterial small subunit ribosomal RNA
Source: RNAcentral
GAUGAACGCUGGCGGCGUGCCUAAUACAUGCAAGUCGAGCGAACAGACGAGGAGCUUGCUCCUUUGACGUUAGCGGCGGACGGGUGAGUAACACGUGGAUAACCUACCUAUAAGACUGGGAUAACUUCGGGAAACCGGAGCUAAUACCGGAUAACAUGUUGAACCGCAUGGUUCAACAGUGAAAGACGGUCUUGCUGUCACUUAUAGAUGGAUCCGCGCCGCAUUAGCUAGUUGGUAAGGUAACGGCUUACCAAGGCAACGAUGCGUAGCCGACCUGAGAGGGUGAUCGGCCACACUGGAACUGAGACACGGUCCAGACUCCUACGGGAGGCAGCAGUGGGGAAUAUUCCGCAAUGGGCGAAAGCCUGACGGAGCAACGCCGCGUGAGUGAAGAAGGUCUUCGGAUCGUAAAACUCUGUUAUUAGGGAAGAACAAAUGUGUAAGUAACUAUGCACGUCUUGACGGUACCUAAUCAGAAAGCCACGGCUAACUACGUG